UGGGUAACCUGCCCAAGAGAUCGGGAUAACACCUGGAAACAGAUGCUAAUACCGGAUAAUAACAGGUGAUGCCUAUCAACUGUUUAAAAGAUGGUUCUGCUAUCACUCUUGGAUGGACCUGCGGUGCAUUAGCUAGUUGGUAGGGUAACGGCCUACCAAGGCGAUGAUGCAUAGCCGAGUUGAGAGACUGAUCGGCCACAUUGGGACUGAGACACGGCCCAAACUCCUACGGGAGGCAGCAGUC
RNAcentral lists this ribosomal RNA (244 nucleotides) under uncultured Lactobacillus sp. RNAcentral describes it as "partial 16S ribosomal RNA". It matches the Rfam family "Bacterial small subunit ribosomal RNA", at positions 118 to 355 of the family's 1533-position model. Lineage: Bacteria; Bacillati; Bacillota; Bacilli; Lactobacillales; Lactobacillaceae. The record is from RNAcentral.